This 512-nucleotide ribosomal RNA is filed under the name Montrouzierella sp. JGZ-64. RNAcentral's name for it is "partial 12S ribosomal RNA". Lineage: Eukaryota; Metazoa; Arthropoda; Insecta; Coleoptera; Chrysomelidae. The record is from RNAcentral.
GCACAUUUUAGAGCCUAAUUCAUCUUAAUUAAAAAUUAAAAUUACAUUCAAAUCCAAAUUCAAAAUUCUAAUACUAAAAUUUAUUCUCAAAUAAAUUUAUUGUAAUCCAUCUCUUCUUAUAUAAACUGCACCUUGAUCUGAUUUUCAAUAUAAUCAAAUAUUCUAAUUAUAUAUUUCAAAAAAUAAUUAAUAACGACGAUAUACAAGCAAAAUAAAAGUUUUAUCAAUCGUGGAUUAUCGAUUACAGGACAGAUUCCCCUGAUUGGAAUAAAAAACCGCCAAAUUAUUUGAUUUUCAAGAUCAUAACUAAUAUUUAUCAGGUCUUAAAUAUUUAACAUCUAGAAUAAUGGGGUAUCUAAUCCCAGUUUAACUUCUAGAUUUCUUAACCUCUAAAACAAAAAAAUUACUUAAUUAAUAAAUAAGAUUUCACCCAAUAUCCAUUAAAAUAAAAAUAAAUUAUUAAUAAUUAAGUAUAACCAAAAAAAAAUAAUAGCAUUAUUUGUUUAACCGCA